Molecule: non-coding RNA, 94 nt
Organism: Onygenales sp. PD_40
Lineage: Eukaryota; Fungi; Ascomycota; Eurotiomycetes; Onygenales
Source: the annotation of a GenBank genome assembly
GCCCGCAUGGCUUAAUGGUAAAGCGCAUCACUAGUACGGUUUCAUACUGCUAUCUGCCAUGAUGAGAUCCUCAGUUCGAUUCUGAGUGUGGGCA